CAAGGCAACAGUGUGACGUCUUUGUUUGUUUUUAUUUAAAUGCGUCCGCGACAUUCCAAAAUAGAAAACGCGCUCGCGCUGUUGUUUAUUGUUGUUGUUGUUGCUGCUGCUGCUGUUGUUCCAUAACGGUUAACUGUAAGAGAAAGGAGAGAACGGACGCUCGAGAGAACAAACGUUUAUUCAACACAACAAUGGAUAAUACCGUUAACACACCUGCUUCUCCAGCUCCAGUGAGGUCCUGUAAAGAAGUAAGUUCCUCUUGGAGUUUCCAUCCUGAACUGGAGCCGCGUUUCACCGUCGCGCACGCGGAGUCUGUCACACCUGUCACACCUGUCACGCGCAGCGUCGAAGCGGCUACAGAGGACGUGAGCUUCCCUCAGCUUCCCUCAGGAACAGAUGAUUUUCCCCCGCAAGCAAACUACAAAAAUAGAAAAGGCUACAUCAAGAAGCCCAUGAACGCCUACAUGGUUUGGGCGAGGAUACAGCGGUCUAUCUUGUGCAAGGCCAACCCGAAUGCCAGCUUUGCAGAGAUCAGCAUGCUACUUGGGAAUGGGUGGAGGAACCUGAGUGAAGAACAGAAGAAACCCUACUACGCAGAGACAUGGAGGCUUAAACAGAAACACAGAAAGAAAUUUCCUGAUUGGGUUUAUAAUUCGGGGAGGAGAAAGAGAUUCAGCCCAGAAGUGGCACCUCUGCAUACUACCUCUAAUGCCUCACCAACCGUACCCCUGGCACAUCCUCAGAGAUCUGCGCCUCAGAACAUCCCUGUAGCAUCACCCAGAAACUCCAGCUUGCAGUACUCAGCCAUGCAGACCAAUCCAAUGUUCUCCGAUCUCCUGCUACAGAGCCGCCGCACUGUACGCAACGAGGCUGCAGAGGCGGUGCGAGAUAUCCCCACUGAACCCAUGCAGCUGGGGCGUACGCAGCUCAGUGCAGAGGAAAGAGAGAGACGGCGUCAGGAGUUUCGUUGCUUCUACUGUGGCGAGGAAGGACACAUCAUCAGACAAUGACCUCUCAAGCAGCGCCGAGACCUAGGAGAGAGCGGGACGGCUAAACCACAUCAGCCAGGGAAGUGCUGAUUGACUCAGGAGCGGCGGGGAACUUCAGCGAUCAGAACACCGUACAGCAGCACAACAUCCCUGUUCGUCCACUAAUCAAGCCACGUGGGAUUCAGGCCAUUGAUGGGGCCCCCAUUGGGAAGGGGUUUGUCACCCAUUGUACUGAGCCACUCACCCUCCAGACCAGCACACUCCAUCAGGAGAGCAUAGUGUUUUACUAGAAGUGCCAUCUCUGCACACUACCUCUAAUGCCUCACCAACCGUACCCCUGGCACAUCCUCAGAGAUCUGCGCCUCAGAAUACCCCCGUAGCAUCACCCAGAAACUCCAGCUUGCGGUACUCAGCCAUGCAGACCAAUCCAAUGUUCUCCGCCUCGUUUUGUUUGUUUGCCUGAUCGCGUGACCCCUUUUUGAUUGUUUUCACGACUACAAACUUUGACUCUUCCUUUGGAUUAUUCUGCCUUGAUUCUGUCACCCGCAACUGCUUCCGUCUCCACCCUCGGAACGUGACAAUAUGGAAUUAAUUAAUCAUGCAACAGUUAGUUCAAGUCCAGGGGGCAUGGUGGCUUAGUUGUUAAUACAUUUGCCUCACACCUCCAGGGUUGGGGGUUCGAUUCUAAUCUCUGCUCUGUGUGUGCAGAGUUUGCAUGUUCUCUCUGUGCUUUGGGGGUUUCCUGUGGGUAGUCCAGUUUCCUCCCUGAUUGGCAUUUCCAAACUGUCCAUAGUGUGUGAAUAGGCAGUUUGCAGAGUACAACCUCACAGAGGAGGAGACCUGCUCAAGAGCCAAACCGCCAUAUAGUCAUGGACAUGCCAAGAGAAGUACCACGCCAUGGCCUGGUGCCUGGAUCUAGUGGCCAGU
Ictalurus furcatus (blue catfish) is the source of this 1916-nucleotide RNA transcript. It is a transcript of the gene named transcription factor SOX-30-like, with no coding region annotated. The transcript has 7 exons. The record is from RefSeq and is a predicted model, not a curated record. NCBI's taxonomy places the organism in Eukaryota, Metazoa, Chordata, Actinopteri, Siluriformes, Ictaluridae.